This is a long non-coding RNA of Gorilla gorilla gorilla (western lowland gorilla), 428 nucleotides long. RefSeq lists it as uncharacterized. Lineage: Eukaryota; Metazoa; Chordata; Mammalia; Primates; Hominidae. The record is from RefSeq and is a predicted model, not a curated record. The transcript is spliced from 2 exons.
CUUCCCUCCAGGAGUUGCAGGUUGUCCCUCAGCAGUGGCUGCCUGCAGUAGCCACGGGUCCUAGUCUCCUGCUCCUACCGGCUCUCCCAGGGCCAGUCUCUUCACUCUUCUUCAAGUGGGGAGGGACAAGCAUACCCUCCCCAGAGCAUCGUGUGACGCCAUCAAUAUACCAGGAAGGAAGUGCUAGGAUCCUGCACCCAUGAUGACUCGGGGACCAUAAGCUACCAGAGGGAGGGGCUGGCAGGAAUUUGUGUCUUCAGGACCAUGACGAUAACAACAACAGUGACAACAGCAAAUAUGUACAAAUCACUGAGCAUGAACGAGGUACCACAUAUGUUAUGCACUUAUCCUUAUCAAAUGUUUAUACUAGUAAUGUUUAUUUGCAUUAAAACCAAGGCACAGAGAAAUAAAGCAAUCAUUUAAGACUA